This 69-nucleotide transfer RNA is filed under the name Solenopsis geminata. RNAcentral's name for it is "tRNA-Gln". The record is from RNAcentral. Lineage: Eukaryota; Metazoa; Arthropoda; Insecta; Hymenoptera; Formicidae.
UAUAUUUUAAUGUAAGGAGCAUAUAAAUUUUUGAAAUUUUUAGAAAUAGUUUAAUUCUAUUAAAUAUAA